RNAcentral lists this ribosomal RNA (528 nucleotides) under marine sediment bacterium ISA-3108. Its description in RNAcentral is "bacterial SSU rRNA". It matches the Rfam family "Bacterial small subunit ribosomal RNA", at positions 8 to 526 of the family's 1533-position model. The record is from RNAcentral.
AGAGUUGAUCCUGGCUCAGAUUGAACGCUGGCGGCAGGCCUAACACAUGCAAGUCGAGCGGUAACAGAGAAUAGCUUGCUACUCUGCUGACGAGCGGCGGACGGGUGAGUAAUGCUUGGGAAUGUACCUUAUGGUGGGGGACAACAGUUGGAAACGACUGCUAAUACCGCAUAAUGUCUUCGGACCAAAGCGGGGGACCUUCGGGCCUCGCGCCAUAAGAUCAGCCCAAGUGGGAUUAGCUAGUUGGUGAGGUAAUGGCUCACCAAGGCGACGAUCCCUAGCUGGUUUGAGAGGAUGACCAGCCACACUGGGACUGAGACACGGCCCAGACUCCUACGGGAGGCAGCAGUGGGGAAUAUUGCACAAUGGGCGCAAGCCUGAUGCAGCCAUGCCGCGUGUGUGAAGAAGGCCUUCGGGUUGUAAAGCACUUUCAGUAAGGAGGAAAGGUUGGAUGUUAAUAGCAUUCAGCUGUGACGUUACUUACAGAAGAAGCACCGGCUAACUCCGUGCCAGCAGCCGCGGUAAUAC